UACGGAGGGGGCUAGCGUUGUUCGGAAUCACUGGGCGUAAAGCGCGCGUAGGCGGGUCGUUAAGUCAGGGGUGAAAUCCCGAGGCUCAACCUCGGAACUGCCUUUGAUACUGGCGACCUGGAGUCCGGGAGAGGUGAGUGGAACUCCUAGUGUAGAGGUGAAAUUCGUAGAUAUUAGGAAGAACACCAGUGGCGAAGGCGGCUCACUGGCCCGGUACUGACGCUGAUGCGCGAAAGCGUGGGGAGCAAAC
This 250-nucleotide ribosomal RNA is filed under the name uncultured bacterium. RNAcentral describes it as "partial 16S ribosomal RNA". It matches the Rfam family "Bacterial small subunit ribosomal RNA", at positions 524 to 773 of the family's 1533-position model. The record is from RNAcentral.